This 253-nucleotide ribosomal RNA is filed under the name uncultured bacterium. Its description in RNAcentral is "partial 16S ribosomal RNA". It matches the Rfam family "Bacterial small subunit ribosomal RNA", at positions 524 to 776 of the family's 1533-position model. The record is from RNAcentral.
UACGGAGGAUCCAAGCGUUAUCCGGAUUUAUUGGGUUUAAAGGGUGCGUAGGUGGGAUAAUAAGUCAGAGGUGAAAGCUAGCAGCUUAACUGUUAAAUUGCCUUUGAUACUGUUAUUCUUGAGUAUAGUUGGCGUUGGCGGAAUGUGACAUGUAGCGGUGAAAUGCGUAGAUAUGUCACAGAACACCGAUCGCGAAGGCAGCUAACGAAGCUAUGACUGACACUGAUGCACGAAAGCUAGGGGAGCGAAUGGG